UCUCAGCUAUGCUGGGUUCGGGGCCGCCAGCGACGCCAUUUUGUAUCACGGCCGGCGGGGCGCCUGUGCGUCAGAGAGGGAGCGAGCGAGCUGGGCGCCAUUUCCCCGCCAGUUCGGGGAGAAAGACGCUGCAAAUUUUCAAGCCUCCCUCCUCUGUCCCGAAGGCUCUCUCAGAUAAGGCGACAAAAAAAAAAA
Molecule: long non-coding RNA, 195 nt
Organism: Mauremys reevesii (Reeves's turtle)
Lineage: Eukaryota; Metazoa; Chordata; Testudines; Geoemydidae
Exons: 2
Source: RefSeq, a predicted model, not a curated record